This 253-nucleotide ribosomal RNA is filed under the name uncultured bacterium. RNAcentral describes it as "partial 16S ribosomal RNA". It matches the Rfam family "Bacterial small subunit ribosomal RNA", at positions 524 to 776 of the family's 1533-position model. The record is from RNAcentral.
UACGGAGGGUGCGAGCGUUGUCCGGAAUCACUGGGCGUAAAGGGCGCGUAGGCGGCGCGACAAGUCAACGGUGAAAGCUCGGGGCUCAACCCCGAGUCGGCCGUCGAUACUGUUGGGCUGGAGCACUGUAGAGGCAGGUGGAAUUCCGGGUGUAGCGGUGGAAUGCGUAGAGAUCCGGAAGGACACCGGUGGCGAAGGCGGCCUGCUGGGCAGUAGCUGACGCUGAGGCGCGACAGCGUGGGGAGCAAACAGG